GAUCUGAUCUGAAACGGCAUGCAGUACAAAUACGAGAUGAUGGAAUGAAAUGGGAUAGAAGGUAGAGGGCUGCCUGUGACGCCCAAAAGC
This is a long non-coding RNA of Ipomoea nil (Japanese morning glory), 90 nucleotides long. RefSeq lists it as uncharacterized. The transcript is spliced from 3 exons. The record is from RefSeq and is a predicted model, not a curated record. NCBI's taxonomy places the organism in Eukaryota, Viridiplantae, Streptophyta, Magnoliopsida, Solanales, Convolvulaceae.